AACGCACAUUGCGCUCCCUGGUAUUCCUAGGAGCAUGCCUGUCUGAGCGUCAGUACACACCCUCCGUCGUCCUCUUUGCGGGGGACGGUCGGGUCCUGAGGUUCGGGCUGCGGCUGGCGGGGUCUAACCACCCCCUCGGCCCGCGGCCCCCUCUAAAGUGGAAAGCCAGCGGCCCGCCUGCCCACGAAAGACGUAGUAAUAUCUCAAUGAAUCGUCCGCGAAUGGAAAGGUGCGGUCGGCCUCGAAUCUUAACUCUUAAGGUUUGACCUCAGAUCAGACAAGGAUACCCGCUGAACUUAA
This 300-nucleotide unclassified non-coding RNA is filed under the name uncultured fungus. RNAcentral's name for it is "partial contains 5.8S ribosomal RNA, internal transcribed spacer 2, and large subunit ribosomal RNA". The record is from RNAcentral. Lineage: Eukaryota; Fungi.